Molecule: ribosomal RNA, 497 nt
Filed under: uncultured bacterium
Lineage: Bacteria
Description: partial 16S ribosomal RNA
Rfam family: Bacterial small subunit ribosomal RNA
Source: RNAcentral
GACGAACGCUGGCGGCGUGCCUAAUACAUGCAAGUAGAACGCUGAAGAGAGGAGCUUGCUCUUCUUGGAUGAGUUGCGAACGGGUGAGUAACGCGUAGGUAACCUGCCUUGUAGCGGGGGAUAACUAUUGGAAACGAUAGCUAAUACCGCAUAACAAUGGAUGUCACAUGUCAUUUAUUUGAAAGGGGCAAUUGCUCCACUACAAGAUGGACCUGCGUUGUAUUAGCUAGUAGGUGAGGUAAUGGCUCACCUAGGCGACGAUACAUAGCCGACCUGAGAGGGUGAUCGGCCACACUGGGACUGAGACACGGCCCAGACUCCUACGGGAGGCAGCAGUAGGGAAUCUUCGGCAAGGGGGGCAACCCUGACCGAGCAACGCCGCGUGAGUGAAGAAGGUUUUCGGAUCGUAAAGCUCUGUUGUAAGUCAAGAACGGGUGUGAGAGUGGAAAGUUCACACUGUGACGGUAGCUGACCAGAAAGGGACGGCUAACUACGUG